UCUCCGUAGGUGAACCUGCGGAGGGAUCAUUACAGAGUUCUCGCCCUCACGGGUAGAUCUCCCACCCACUGUUAUCGUUACUGUCGUUUCUUUGGCGGGCCGCCGGGUCCCCGGCCGCCGGCGCCUAGCUGCCGGCGCGCGCCCGCCAGAGGCCUUCAAACUCUGAAUGUUAGUGUCGUCUGAGAACUAUAUAAUAGUUAAAACUUUCAACAACGGAUCUCUUGGUUCUGGCAUCGAUGAAGACGCAGC
This 249-nucleotide unclassified non-coding RNA is filed under the name plant metagenome. RNAcentral describes it as "partial contains small subunit ribosomal RNA, internal transcribed spacer 1, and 5.8S ribosomal RNA". The stretch from base 202 to 249 matches the Rfam family "5.8S ribosomal RNA", at positions 1 to 49 of the family's 154-position model. The record is from RNAcentral.